UUGACCUUCUCUAUGGAUAGGGGAGGGGCAAGAGGGAAGGAGACUCUGGAUUCCCCCACUCUACCCCUGCAAGGGCCAGUCUCUGUACAAGGAUUUCUUCCCUUCUCCAAUGCCACUGUUGCAAGUCCCUGAGCAAAUGCCCAAGGGUGUGUGGGAGAGGCUGGGGUUAAUUAAGGGCAUCUGAGAUGGACGCUGUUCAUUUCCUGCUGGUCACCUCCCGAGCCGUCCUGGAAGCCAGGCUUUGUGGACCUAUUCCCUUUCGGUUUCCCUCUGAUGAUUACUCCCCCAUGUUAUCCUUGACCUUAGCCCCUGAGGAGCAGCUCUGCUGGCAGUCAUCUUGAUGUCAGGGUGCAGCAGCCGGCUCCUGGCUCCGAUUCACUUGGUCCAUGAGUACAUUCGUGACAAAUCAGGCUGGGCUGAGGAAGAGGAGACGGAAGGCCUGGGAGGCCCCCAGGAUGUGACUAGGAAGGUGGGGGCACACGAAUGAUGGACCUGACACAGUGACUGGAGGAGUGACCAGAGGAUCCAGGGCGUGGGGUCAUCAGGGGAGGCUCUGGAGAGCAGCCUGGAUCCAUAAUCAGGCCUAGAGGGCGAAGAGAAUCGCCUAAGACCCCACAGUCACAGGCAGAGUGGGGACCAGAGAGCGUGCUGGCCCUGGAGCUGUGGUAACUGGACGAGAGUCGCCAUCAUCCGGAGCAUUGCCCUGAUGCUCUCCAUGUUAACUCAUCCAUCUUCACAGAACCCCGUGAGGAGGGUGCCAUGCUGUCCCCUGAGGAACCCUCGGGGACACGUAACAGUUCAUUUAUUCUAGGGUACUGGUCACUGUGUGGGGAGCAAGGAUUGGAACUCCACAGUUUGUUCUAGGGACUGCACUCUUCUCCCUGGAGGUGACAUGGAACAUAGGGGUCAACCCAUGUCCUGGCUGACUAAGAGAGGGUGAGGCCAGGGGCCCCUGUCCAAGCAUGGCCCUGGCAGGGUGAGCUCGUCUCAAUUUCCCAGCCCCCCAUGCUUCCCCAAAGUCUUGUCACUUCCUAGUGACCCCAUCGAUCAUGAUUUUUUGCAGACCCUCAAGCAGGGAUGAAUUCCGGUGAACAGCCGGCUCUGGGUGUGGGAUGCUGUCAUUUGCUGAUUGCUGUAGCAUGAAUAUUCCCACAACGGCCAGUUUCCAGCUAUCAGCUGGAUCCCAAUCAGCUCGCAAAACCGCACAAUCUCACAAGGGACUCUGGAUCUGUGCAGACUCCAGUCACCAGCACAGCCCCUCUUCCCUCCCAGCUCUGCCUGAACCCCCCUUCUCCCUACCCUCCUCACUUACCACCUCUGAUUAAACUAGGUUCUCAUAAACGGGUAUGAUUUGAAAGUUCUCAUCUUGGGAGGUUUAUUUCCUCUACUCAAAAAGAAAUAAUAAUAAAAGAUUCAUGGAGUGCU
Molecule: long non-coding RNA, 1425 nt
Organism: Marmota flaviventris (yellow-bellied marmot)
Lineage: Eukaryota; Metazoa; Chordata; Mammalia; Rodentia; Sciuridae
Source: RefSeq, a predicted model, not a curated record